Long non-coding RNA from Onychomys torridus (southern grasshopper mouse), 970 nucleotides. RefSeq lists it as uncharacterized. Lineage: Eukaryota; Metazoa; Chordata; Mammalia; Rodentia; Cricetidae. The record is from RefSeq and is a predicted model, not a curated record. The transcript is spliced from 3 exons.
AGCAUAAUAAACAUCAGAAUCAAUUAGCUAACGAAGCUGAUCUAUUCAGAUCCCCGUGAGCUGGAAAACCAUAGACGUGGAGGGAAGCAGUUCUGGGAGAGAACGAAACCAUCGGGAUGGCUCAGAUGACUGUGGGUUUUGUCCCCAGGAAAGCAGUUAUUUGCAUAUGGGUGAAUUUUCACAUGGCAACUGGAGUGCAGCAAUGAUUUACAAGCACUUCAAGGCAAAAUUCCCAACAGCCCCUUCCCUUGGCUUUCUCUGCUUAUAUCUGCAUUUCUGUCUGGCACAAACCUGAAGAAGGGAGCUCAUGCAGAAACCUUGAUAGCUGUACUUCUGAGAACUUGCCACCAAAGGCAAAUGUAUUCCAAAAUCAGCCUGUGGUUUUCCUCACCACUGAUCAUUGACCUCACCCAUUUUACAUGCCAUAGACAUGUCUUCAACAAAUCUCUCUGAACAUGCUUGUAAAACACCAUGGCUGGAAGGAACCAACUUGGAUGGCUCCCGUCUGGAGACUGGACAUCACAUCCUCACAGUGCUAGUCUGUUCACAAGCUGCCUCGUUCCAGCUCUCAGCACCAGUUCUCAUUAGUGUCCUAGACAGACUAAUCUCAUUCAAACACUGAGAACAGAGAGUCAAAGACAAGCUGAGGCCCAGCUCCUCCGGGAAGCUCGAUUCCUCCCCACCCCCCCCCCCCCCCCCAGCUUAUCUCUCCUUAGAAGGGUGACCCUGCCACCUGCACUGUGUGGGAUGAUGAUGAUGACUGAGCGUUUGUGCUGAAGCUGGUUCCUUCAGGCACUUUGCCUGACUCCACGUGUUCUGGGGAUACCAUCAAUUAAGCUCUUCUGCCACAGUCUGCUAUGAGGUCAACCUGUUAUCAAACUUGGGGUUACAAUUUGUACCCCAAGUCAGGUCUGGCCAUCUCUCCUCGAUAAGUCAAUUAAAAGAGCCAAACUUACUGGGUGUGGUGGUG